CAUGUUCAAACUUUCACUACAAAUCUUGUCUCUGAUGGAGAAAUUCAAAUUUGCCCAAUUUCAUAUGAUGACUGACAGAAGUGUGAAAGUCUACAACAUUUCUGUUAAAGAUAAAAGAAUGGGUCAGUUUGCCCAGGUGACCAGUCAGCCUGAUCUCAACAAUGAUGAAGGGAGGACUGAAAUCAACUGUCCCAGCACAAAAGGACCAAAGACACAUGCUGCUAAAGUACUGCUGUUUGGAGGCACUGCUAAAAGAGGGCAGCGAAUGAAGAGAAGUGCAUCCCCAGAUGCCAAGACUUUACACAGUAUGGAGUUGUGCAGCUCAGUAACUAACAUUGGGCAAGUAUAAAAUCUCAAUUAGCCUACUAUUGAUUCCAAGAAAGAGAGAGUUGAUCAAAUUUCCUAGCAAUUAUUUACAGUCCUUAGGCUACAUCAAAAUGUAGUGGCUAGCCAGUGGGACAACAGAGAUUUAGAAGCCUAUAUAUUUCAACAGUGUGUUUUUUCCCCACAAUGCAUGUUAUGUUUAUUUUUUCUUUGUCUUUGAGACCAAGAAUCCAAGGCUUUCCCAGGCAGCAAAAGUCCAAGUUGCGGAGGACCUUAAGGCUGCUCUUAUUAAAGAAAGGGCCAUGAAAGUCGCACACCUUUUGGACAAAACAAACAUGGACUUGGCUGAGCAGGGAGGUCCACAAGGUGACAGAUACCUGGUAUAUUUCAUAACUUUGGUUUUGACAGGUCUAGGUCAAAGGUAAUCAUGGUAUGUCAAAGGCUAAUGAUGAAAUGCUUCAUUUGAAAAUCUUAAUGUGUGUUUAAUUUGUUUUGAAACUCAGAAGUGAAAAACAUGUAAGGGAAUGUGCCCCCACAUAUACAAACAUGAACACACAUUGACGAACACACACCCUCCCACAACACACCCCCAGCCUGCAUGUUAAAAACCAUAUGCUUAAUUGACCCCUGAGGCUUAAUGCCGCUAAUGUGUUUAAAUGAUUUAUGUUAAAAACAUGUGUAAGUGAGGGAAACAUGUAACUUCCAAUUGCCUGAGAUUCCCACCAUAAAUAUAUUGGGAAACACCCUAUAAAGGCUAAAUACUUACAAAGCUUUCGCAUUCUGGAAGUCCGCCAAGAGACUUCACAUCUUCGGAAAUCCAACAAAGGUUAAAGACCUUGGACUUCAACAGGUAAGAAGUUUCGUUUUUAAAUGUUUUAAUUUCAUUCCAUUUAUUUGUAUUAGAAUGUUUCAGUCAUUUUACAUUUUGAUGAUAACCUUUAGAAUAUUUUAACAUAUAUUCAGAACAUUGGUAAGUUCCAUCUACUUAACCAGUCAUUAUGUAUUCAGGUAUAGGUUUAUAGCUAAAGUUUAAUUUUCAAUCAAUUUUUAUUACAGAGCAGGACCAAACUAUGCUCAUCUGAUUCUAGUGUCUAACAAAACGUAACAAAUGAGCUCGAGCCAACUAGACAACAUUGUGAUUAAUUUUUGAUGAGUUUCCUGAAACGUCCACUCAAGGUCAUGUGAAUCCUAGAUCACUGGAACAUAAAUCAAUCUAUCCAAAGACCAAUAGCUGCCGUAGUACCACAGAUUAGAACAAUCCUGCAAACUACACAAGUUGAAGACACCUCAACUAUCAUUGCUGAAGAUUCAAAUGCUUCAGAGUGAUGCCAUAGAACAAG
Long non-coding RNA from Pangasianodon hypophthalmus (striped catfish), 1664 nucleotides. RefSeq lists it as uncharacterized. The transcript has 5 exons. The record is from RefSeq and is a predicted model, not a curated record. NCBI's taxonomy places the organism in Eukaryota, Metazoa, Chordata, Actinopteri, Siluriformes, Pangasiidae.